UGGGGAAUAUUGGACAAUGGGCGAAAGCCUGAUCCAGCCAUGCCGCGUGUGUGAAGAAGGUCUUCGGAUUGUAAAGCACUUUAAGUUGGGAGGAAGGGCAGUAAGCGAAUACCUUGCUGUUUUGACGUUACCGACAGAAUAAGCACCGGCUAACUCUGUGCCAGCAGCCGCGGUAAUACAGAGGGUGCAAGCGUUAAUCGGAAUUACUGGGCGUAAAGCGCGCGUAGGUGGUUCGUUAAGUUGAAUGUGAAAGCCCCGGGCUCAACCUGGGAACUGCAUCCAAAACUGGCGGGCUAGAGUAUGGCAGAGGGUGGUGGAAUUUCCUGUGUAGCGGUGAAAUGCGUAGAUAUAGGAAGGAACACCAGUGGCGAAGGCGACCACCUGGGCUCAUACUGACACUGAGGUGCGAAAGCGUGGGGAGCAAACAGG
Molecule: ribosomal RNA, 429 nt
Filed under: Pseudomonadota bacterium
Lineage: Bacteria; Pseudomonadati; Pseudomonadota
Description: Proteobacteria bacterium partial 16S ribosomal RNA
Rfam family: Bacterial small subunit ribosomal RNA
Source: RNAcentral